This 445-nucleotide ribosomal RNA is filed under the name uncultured bacterium. RNAcentral's name for it is "partial 16S ribosomal RNA". It matches the Rfam family "Bacterial small subunit ribosomal RNA", at positions 354 to 796 of the family's 1533-position model. The record is from RNAcentral.
GUGAGGAAUAUUGGUCAAUGGGCGAGAGCCUGAACCAGCCAAGUCGCGUGAAGGAAGAAGGAUCUAUGGUUCGUAAACUUCUUUUGCAGGGGAAUAAAGUGCGGGACGUGUCCUGUUUUGUAUGUACCCUGAGAAUAAGGAUCGGCUAACUCCGUGCCAGCAGCCGCGGUAAUACGGAGGAUCCGAGCGUUAUCCGGAUUUAUUGGGUUUAAAGGGUGCGUAGGUGGUUUGAUAAGUCAGCGGUGAAAGUUUGCAGCUUAACUGUAAAAAUGCCGUUGAAACUGUCGGACUUGAGUGUAAAUGAGGUAGGCGGAAUGCGUGGUGUAGCGGUGAAAUGCAUAGAUAUCACGCAGAACUCCGAUUGCGAAGGCAGCUUACUAAGCUACAACUGACACUGAAGCACGAAAGCGUGGGGAUCAAACAGGAUUAGAUACCCCGGUAGUCC